Long non-coding RNA from Gallus gallus (chicken), 963 nucleotides. NCBI's taxonomy places the organism in Eukaryota, Metazoa, Chordata, Aves, Galliformes, Phasianidae. The record is from Ensembl.
AAAAGGGGGGCCAGUGCUGACCUGUCUUCUUGUUGUUCUGCAAACCGUACAGCAGGCAGAUAGGGCACGAACUGAUUGCAAUCUCUGCCUUCAAACCUUCAGUGAUGAACAACAGCUGAGCAAUUUCAGAAUGUUGUGUUUUGGGGUUCAUCUCCCCAUCUAACAAAACGCUAAUCCUCAAAUGACUUCAAUUUCCACUUCCAAAGUGUUCUGAAGAAAUCUCGUGCUGUCUGGUGCAACGCUUUGGUCUUUGAGCUGCACAGAGGUGGUCUGAUCCCUAUCUCACUGGGAACUGGGAAACAAUGUCACCUAAGUCAACAUAUAAUGCAGUAGGACCUGCCCCAUGGGAGGUAAAGCAAGAAAGCACACAGUGAAGUCCAGCUCAUCUUUAGGGGUGGAAACCUUGAAGCUUUUCAGACACAAUCAUUCUUCACAUCCCUCCUUGAUAAAAUUCUCAGCAGUCAGCACAGAUUUAAGAAGAAAAAAAAAAGACACUGCCUGUCCUGUUUCUCAACAUUUGGAAAGUUUUAAGGAGUACUGCAGGUGAGAGUAUGGUCACAAAUGUAUUUUAUUUUUCAUAAUUUCUCUCCAGAUUUUAGAAUGAAAAAUGUUAACGUCUGUUCUAACAUCUGAGAAUCUUUCGGAGCCCUUUUAGAAAACAAGCAGUGAGGCAAAACAGAACAUACAAACUGUAUUUUAUUUAUGCAGAUAAGAUUUGUGUGAAAUCAGGAUUUGAUUUUUGACUAAGUGCUCACAGGUGAUUGUAUUUACAGUGCUGAAAUGCUGUGAUAUGCUACAAUAUAUCAUAGACCAAAUUCGGAAUAUUUGUAGUGUGAGUACUGAAAAACGCAUGGAGCUGAAACAUAAAGGGAAAACACUGAGCAAUGUGGGGAAAAGGCAGGUCCAGAUUUGUAUUUGUCACUUAACCUACUUAAUUCUAAGUCUAAGGGAGUUGUAAUUCUG